This is a long non-coding RNA of Populus euphratica (Euphrates poplar), 1027 nucleotides long. RefSeq lists it as uncharacterized. Lineage: Eukaryota; Viridiplantae; Streptophyta; Magnoliopsida; Malpighiales; Salicaceae. The transcript has 2 exons. The record is from RefSeq and is a predicted model, not a curated record.
AAAGUCAACAAACUUGUAGAUGAUUGUUCAUCAUUCAAAAAAAAAAAAAAUACAGCACUCGAAAUGAGGGAAGUAGGUUUUUUUUUUUCCUAAGCAGGACGGUCUUUUAUGCUAAGCGUUUCCUCUAAGUUAUGCUAGGUCUCUUCUUCCACUGCCUCCUUGAGAGACAGGGAGAGAGGGAGAUGGUAGCAGUUCCUAAGCCUCAUUUGGUGCGUGUCCCAUUGCCAUUGCAAACACACAUAUAAUCUCCAUGCUAAACCUAGGAAAGCUUCUUCAUAACAAAGGUUUCCACGUAACAUCUGUCAACAGAGUUUAAUCACAACUUGCAGAGCUUUGCAUGGGGACCAGCUAAUGGAAACCACAACUUCUUGCGGAUAACUAGACCAAAUUUGAUCAUGAGGAAAUCACCAUUCUAGCAUAAGAGUUUAUGAAGGAAACCAAAGAGAGAUGUUUCAUAGCAAGUUGUUUCCCACAAGAGCGGGUCCUUAAUCACCCAUCUGUUGGAGGAUUCAUGAACCAUGGUGGAUGGAACUCAGUACUUGAAAGCAUCUCUGCUGGAGUACCAAUGGUUUGUUGGCCUCUUAUGGGACAAACAUUUGAGAAUUCUUAAAAAGUUGCCAUGAAUGGGGUGUUGGCAUGGAGUUGAGUCAUGACUUCAACAGUUAUGAAGUGGAGAAUCUUGUCAAGGAGUUGAUGACAAGAGAGAAGGGAAAACAGAUGAAGAAUAAAGUCGAGGGAUUCCAGAGUAUCAUCGUGUCCUCGAACUUAGACAAUCUAGUGAAUGAAGUCCUGCUAUCCAAAAGUUGAUUACCCUAACCAUAUGCAUCAAUGAAACUGGUUUAUCCAGCUGGUAAUGUUUGUGUUUCUCUGCAUAAUUUGCUUUGAUCCUCUUGAAUAAAGACAAUUACUCACUUCUUUCAGGUCAGGAAGAUGUAGUAACAAAAAAAGAAAAAGAAUUAUUGCUUUCCAAAUUUGUAACUUUAUAUUGGGUUUUCAAGGAUAACAAAAAAUGGUGAUAAGAAUCAGA